Molecule: ribosomal RNA, 383 nt
Filed under: uncultured bacterium
Lineage: Bacteria
Description: bacterial SSU rRNA
Rfam family: Bacterial small subunit ribosomal RNA
Source: RNAcentral
AUUGAACGCUGGCGGCAUGCUUUACACAUGCAAGUCGAACGGUAACAGGUCUUCGGAUGCUGACGAGUGGCGAACGGGUGAGUAAUGUAUCGGAACGUGCCCAGUAGUGGGGGAUAACUACUCGAAAGAGUGGCUAAUACCGCAUGAGAACUGAGGUUUGAAAGCGGGGGGACCUUCGGGGCCUCGCGCUACUGGAGCGGCCGAUAUCAGAUUAGGUAGUUGGUGGGGUAAAGGCCUACCAAGCCGACGAUCUGUAGCUGGUCUGAGAGGACGACCAGCCACACUGGGACUGAGACACGGCCCAGACUCCUACGGGAGGCAGCAGUGGGGAAUUUUGGACAAUGGACGCAAGUCUGAUCCAGCAAUGCCGCGUGCAGGACGAA